Molecule: transfer RNA, 64 nt
Filed under: Palleon nasus (elongate leaf chameleon)
Lineage: Eukaryota; Metazoa; Chordata; Lepidosauria; Squamata; Chamaeleonidae
Description: tRNA-His
Source: RNAcentral
GCCAUGAUAGUUUAUAGCGAACAUCAGCCUGUGACGCUGAAAAUGGAAUUACACCCUCAUGACC